Molecule: long non-coding RNA, 558 nt
Filed under: Lathyrus oleraceus (garden pea)
Lineage: Eukaryota; Viridiplantae; Streptophyta; Magnoliopsida; Fabales; Fabaceae
Description: Pisum sativum (pea) long non-coding RNA (PSAT_LNC008168)
Source: RNAcentral
AAGAAAAAUAUUAAUUUUUUUUACAUAUAAUAUACCAUAAAUUAAUGUGAAUAUGACGAAUACAAAUAAAAUUGAGUUUUAUUAUGUAAUUUCACUUAUUAACUAUUUAUAUAUAAUAUGAAUCAUUAAUUUAUAGUACUUUAACUUUUCUACUUAGGGAUGAAGAAAACUAAAAUUUGGUGUUGGAGAAGAAAAUUAUUGAAUUUAUUUACAUAUAAUAUACCAUAAUACAAUGUGAAUAUGCCGAAUACGAAUAAUGUUGAUGUUGAUUAUGUAAAUUCACUUGUUACCUAUUUAUAUAUAAUAUGAAUCAUUCAUUUAUAGUUUUUUUAACUUUGUUGCUUAGUAUUGAAGAAACCUAAAAUUUGGUGAUGGAGAAAAAAAAUAUUAAAUUCUUUUUAACAUAUAAUAUACCAUAAUAUAAUGUGAAUAUAAGGAAUAAAAAUAAUAUUGAGCUUUAUUAUGUAAUUUCAGUUGUUAACCAUUUAUAUAUAAUAUGAAUCAUUAAUUUAUAGUGGUUUAACUUUGUUACUUAGUGAUGAAGAAACCUAAAAUUUG